GACGAACGCUGGCGGCGUGCCUAAUACAUGCAAGUUGAGCGCUGAAGGUUGGUACUUGUCCCGACUGGAUGAGCAGCGAACGGGUGAGUAACGCGUGGGGAAUCUGCCUUUGAGCGGGGGACAACAUUUGGAAACGAAUGCUAAUACCGCAUAAAAACUUUAAACACAAGUUUUAAGUUUGAAAGAUGCAAUUGCAUCACUCAAAGAUGAUCCCGCGUUGUAUUAGCUAGUUGGUGAGGUAAAGGCUCACCAAGGCGAUGAUACAUAGCCGACCUGAGAGGGUGAGCCGCCCAAUUGGGACCGAGACACGGCCCAAACCCCUACGGGAGGCAGCAGUAGGGAAUCUUCGGCAAUGGACGAAAGUCUGACCGAGCAACGCCGCGUGAGUGAAGAAGGGUUUCGGAUCGUAAAACUCUGUUGGUAGAGAAGAACGUUGGUGAGAGUGGAAAGCUCAUCAAGUGACGGUAACUACACAGAAAGGGACGGCUAACUACGUG
Molecule: ribosomal RNA, 497 nt
Filed under: uncultured bacterium
Lineage: Bacteria
Description: partial 16S ribosomal RNA
Rfam family: Bacterial small subunit ribosomal RNA
Source: RNAcentral